GCUAAUAGGGCUGCAAUGGCAGGGCGCUUUGAUAUAGCGCUAGUUAAAGGUUAUUCUUUCGUUAGUA
Molecule: transfer RNA, 67 nt
Filed under: Ancyrocephalus mogurndae
Lineage: Eukaryota; Metazoa; Platyhelminthes; Monogenea; Dactylogyridea; Ancyrocephalidae
Description: tRNA-Ile
Source: RNAcentral